CACGGGUUAGCCCAGAAUCCG
Molecule: non-coding RNA, 21 nt
Filed under: Arabidopsis thaliana (thale cress)
Lineage: Eukaryota; Viridiplantae; Streptophyta; Magnoliopsida; Brassicales; Brassicaceae
Source: RNAcentral